AUUGAACGCUGGCGGCAUGCCUUACACAUGCCAGUCGAACGGCAGCACGGGUGCUUGCACCUGGUGGCGAGUGGCGAACGGGUGAGUAAUACAUCGGAACAUGUCCUGUAGUGGGGGAUAGCCCGGCGAAAGCCGGAUUAAUACCGCAUACGAUCCACUGAUGAAAGCGGGGGCCCUUCGGGCCUCGCGCUAUAGGGUUGGCCGAUGGCUGAUUAGCUAGUUGGUGGGGUAAAGGCCUACCAAGGCGACGAUCAGUAGCUGGUCUGAGAGGACGACCAGCCACACUGGGACUGAGACACGGCCCAGACUCCUACGGGAGGCAGCAGUGGGGAAUUUUGGACAAUGGGCGAAAGCCUGAUCCAGCAAUGCCGCGUGUGUGAAGAAGGACUUCGGGUUGUAAAGCACUUUUGUCCGGAAAGAAAUCCUUGACUCUAAUACAGUCGGGGGAUGACGGUACCGGAAGAAUAAGCACCGGCUAACUACGUG
This 486-nucleotide ribosomal RNA is filed under the name uncultured bacterium. RNAcentral's name for it is "partial 16S ribosomal RNA". It matches the Rfam family "Bacterial small subunit ribosomal RNA", at positions 30 to 507 of the family's 1533-position model. The record is from RNAcentral.